Molecule: ribosomal RNA, 459 nt
Filed under: uncultured bacterium
Lineage: Bacteria
Description: bacterial SSU rRNA
Rfam family: Bacterial small subunit ribosomal RNA
Source: RNAcentral
AACGAACGCUGGCGGCAUGCCUAACACAUGCAAGUCGAACGGGAUCCUAGCUUGCUAGGUGAGAGUGGCGGACGGGUGAGUAACACGUGGGAAUCUGCCUUUUGGUUCGGGAUAACCGCGGGAAACUGCGGCUAAUACCGAAUGCCCUCGAGAGAGGAAAGAUUUAUCGCCAGAAGAGGAGCCCGCGUCCGAUUAGGUAGUUGGUGGGGUAAAGGCCUACCAAGCCGACGAUCGGUAGCUGGUCUGAGAGGAUGAUCAGCCACACUGGGACUGAGAUACGGCCCAGACUCCUACGGGAGGCAGCAGUGGGGAAUAUUGGACAAUGGGGGGCAACCCUGAUCCAGCAAUGCCGCGUGAGUGAUGAAGGCCUUAGGGUUGUAAAGCUCUUUUGCCAGGGAAGAUGAUGACUGUACCUGGAGAAUAAGCCCCGGCUAACUUCGUGCCAGCAGCCGCGGUAAU